Molecule: small RNA, 262 nt
Filed under: Arabidopsis thaliana (thale cress)
Lineage: Eukaryota; Viridiplantae; Streptophyta; Magnoliopsida; Brassicales; Brassicaceae
Description: ATSL032970
Source: RNAcentral
AAGUGUUAUGUUCGUAACGACAGAGAUAGUGUCUCAUGUAGUUCUAGUUUGCAUUUUUUGGACUAGAUAGGAUUAGGUGGGCGCUUAUACUUUGGGUUGGGAUGUGUUUAAAAGAAAAAAAAGGGGGUUGAUUCAUUGAUGAGAAAAGGUAAAAGACUCUAGGUGAAGUAAGCUAAAGAAGCAGAAAAAGUCUAGUAAAGGUUUGGAAUUUGUAAAGAAAAGAAAGAGUUCUUGUUAGCUAUUGGAGAUGGGCAAAAGCCCU